This 213-nucleotide ribosomal RNA is filed under the name Leotiaceae sp. Its description in RNAcentral is "partial large subunit ribosomal RNA". Lineage: Eukaryota; Fungi; Ascomycota; Leotiomycetes; Leotiales; Leotiaceae. The record is from RNAcentral.
AAGCGCUUGCAAUCAGACUUGCAUGCAGUUGAUCAUCCGAUGUUCUCACCGGUGCACUCAUCUGCAUUCAGGCCAGCAUCGGUUUUGGUGGUUGGAUAAAGGCCCUGGGAAUGUAGCUUCUUCCGGGGAGUGUUAUAGCCCAAGGUGCAAUGCAGCCCACCAGGACCGAGGACCGCGCUUCGGCUAGGAUGCUGGCGUAAUGGUUGUAAGCGA